This is a small nuclear RNA of Lepisosteus oculatus (spotted gar), 108 nucleotides long. Lineage: Eukaryota; Metazoa; Chordata; Actinopteri; Semionotiformes; Lepisosteidae. The record is from Ensembl.
GUUCUUGCUUCGGCGGCACAUAUACUCAAAUUGGAAUGAUACAGAGAAGAUUAGCAUGGCCCCUAUGCAAGUAAGACACACAAAAAUUGUGAAGCGUUCCAUAAUUUU